This 1073-nucleotide long non-coding RNA is filed under the name Chinchilla lanigera (long-tailed chinchilla). RNAcentral's name for it is "lncRNA (ENSCLAG00000028286.1)". Lineage: Eukaryota; Metazoa; Chordata; Mammalia; Rodentia; Chinchillidae. The record is from RNAcentral.
GUUUGCUUAUCCAUUAUAAGCCCUACACCACCAGAGAUCAGGGACUGAUACUCUGGGAAUUAUUUCAAUCAAUGCCCAUCCAUGUAAAUAAAUCUGCCUCGAAAUCUUGGGCAUUGCUUAGGUGUUUCUGUUUGCCAUUGCAGUAUCACUGAUUCAUUGAUAGAGUUAACAGGGAAAGUUGUCAAGGACAAUUUUCUAGUUAGAACUGUUGAAGUUGAUGUUGGAAUGUGGUCAAGAAAGGUACCCUAGGAGCACCUUGUGAGGGGCCAGCCACAGAGGGAAGCCAAGAAAACACCUGAGGAUGAGCCUGCCUGUGGAAACUGAAGAAACUGAGGAGGUCAGGGAAAUAGAACACAGUGAGCAAGGGACAGAGUGACAGGAGUGACCACAGAAAUAGAACUCAGGUAACAAAAUAACUAGAUUCACAGAAGUCAUAAGAACAUUUGCUUACACUCAAAAUGGACAAAAAACUGGCACAAAUGGUCCUAACAACUAUGCUUUCUCAAAGGAACACUACUUGUGAGGUUGAGAAGGAAAGAAUCACACAUCUGAGACCAGAGUUGAAAUGUCCCUGUCCCAGACAGCCCAGAGGAAAUUCCAGGAAGGGAGGCUUGGAAGUAUCAGCCACUAGAUGCACACUACUGUCCUUUGCUGACACAGUCCUUAGGAAAGGAGUAUGUAAAACAGCCACGUGACCUGCCCACGUGUGUCCAACACCACACGCUAACCUGAAUAUUGAAGUUUGAAAAAUCUACCUUGGAAAAGGCAGAUCUCUCUGCUUCAAGGUUGAAUACUGCAUUGUGCAUUAAGUAAAGGAAAAAGUCACCAGCUCACAAUGGACAUGCACUUGAUCAACUGACAACAGUAACUUCUUUCUAAAUUCGUUGAACACGAACAUCAUCACCCAGGUUAAUGAGAGUAUGCAAGAAUCAAUGUCCUAAUAAAGAUGACCAUACCUAUUAUGAAAUCUUAAGUUCUAUAAAAUGCAUCUGAAAAUAGCUUCACAAAGUACAUUCUGCACCCAUUUUCUACUUACUGUAAAUAUACACCCAUUAAAAAUUCUAGUAACUGUG